RNAcentral lists this ribosomal RNA (460 nucleotides) under uncultured bacterium. Its description in RNAcentral is "partial 16S ribosomal RNA". It matches the Rfam family "Bacterial small subunit ribosomal RNA", at positions 338 to 795 of the family's 1533-position model. The record is from RNAcentral.
CCUACGGGGGGCAGCAGUGAGGAAUAUUGGUCAAUGGACGAGAGUCUGAACCAGCCAAGUAGCGUGAAGGAUGACUGCCCUAUGGGUUGUAAACUUCUUUUAUAUGGGAAUAAAACGUUCCACGUGUGGGAUUUUGUAUGUACCAUAUGAAUAAGGAUCGGCUAACUCCGUGCCAGCAGCCGCGGUAAUACGGAGGAUCCGAGCGUUAUCCGGAUUUAUUGGGUUUAAAGGGGGCGUAGGUGGAUUGUUAAGUCAGUUGUGAAAGUUUGCGGCUCAACCGUAAAAUUGCAGUUGAAACUGGCAGUCUUGAGUACAGUAGAGGUGGGCGGAAUUCGUGGUGUAGCGGUGAAAUGCUUAGAUAUCACGAAGAACUCCGAUUGCGAAGGCAGUUCACUGGACUGCAACUGACACUGAGGCUCGAAAGUGUGGGUAUCAAACAGGAUUAGAUACCCCUGUAGUC